GAGUGGGAGGCGGCGGCGCCGGUGGUUGCAGCUGGGCUGAGGCGCAAGGCGGCGCACUCGACGACUGACUGGAGCAGCGGUAAAGGCGGGGAUGGAGAGCGAAGGAUAUAAGUCAGAGUACAGCUGAAAAUGUCUACUGAACGGACUUCUUGGACAAGCCUGUCCACCAUUCAGAAAAUAGCCUUGGGCCUUGGGAUCCCAGCCAGUGCAACAAUUGCCUAUAUCCUAUACCGCAGGUAUAGGGAAAGCAGAGAAGAGCGGCUGACAUUUGUUGGGGAAGAUGACAUUGAGAUAGAGAUGCGGGUUCCCCAGGAGGCUGUGAAACUCAUCAUUGGCCGGCAAGGAGCCAAUAUUAAACAGCUGCGGAAACAGACAGGUGCUCGGAUUGAUGUGGACACAGAGGAUGUAGGCGAUGAGCGAGUGCUGCUUAUCAGUGGUUUUCCUGUUCAGGUGUGCAAGGCCAAAGCAGCAAUCCAUCAGAUCCUGACAGAGAAUACCCCAGUGUCUGAGCAGCUUUCAGUUCCCCAGAGAUCUGUGGGCAGAAUCAUAGGUACCACUGGAUGGCUUCCUCUACUGCUUCCUUUAUUCUUUACCUUUGCCCCUCUUUCACACCUUCCCAGGGUUUUUUCUGACCUAGUUCCCCUUCACCAUGUGAAGGGAAAAAAGGGACAUUGAGACCAGAGGUUUACUGUUUGUAGAACUGGUGGUAAAACUAAACCUGUUUCCUCAAGAAGUUGUAUGAUCUGAACCUUACAAA
This 757-nucleotide small RNA is filed under the name Pongo abelii (Sumatran orangutan). RNAcentral's name for it is "retained intron". The record is from RNAcentral. Lineage: Eukaryota; Metazoa; Chordata; Mammalia; Primates; Hominidae.